RNAcentral lists this ribosomal RNA (292 nucleotides) under uncultured bacterium. Its description in RNAcentral is "partial 16S ribosomal RNA". The record is from RNAcentral.
GGACUACUCGGGUAUCUAAUCCCAUUCGCUCCCCUGGCUUUCGUCUUUCAGUGUCAGUGUCGGCCCAGCAGAGUGCCUUCGCCGUCGGUGUUCUUCCCGAUAUCUAUGCAUUUCACCGCUACAUCGGGAAUUCCCUCUGCCCCCACCGUACUCUAGCCUACUAGUUUCCACCGCAUUUUCAAGGGUAAGCCCUGAACUUUCACAGUGGACUGAGCAAACCACCUCAGGACCCUUUACGCCCAAUGAUUCCGGACAACGCUUGCAUCCUCCGUAUUACCGCGGCGGCUGGCAC